RNAcentral lists this ribosomal RNA (490 nucleotides) under uncultured bacterium. RNAcentral's name for it is "partial 16S ribosomal RNA". It matches the Rfam family "Bacterial small subunit ribosomal RNA", at positions 30 to 507 of the family's 1533-position model. The record is from RNAcentral.
AUUGAACGCUGGCGGCAGGCCUAACACAUGCAAGUCGAACGGUAACAGGAAACAGCUUGCUGUUUCGCUGACGAGUGGCGGACGGGUGAGUAAUGUCUGGGAAACUGCCUGAUGGAGGGGGAUAACUACUGGAAACGGUAGCUAAUACCGCAUAACGUCGCAAGACCAAAGAGGGGGACCUUCGGGCCUCUUGCCAUCGGAUGUGCCCAGAUGGGAUUAGCUAGUAGGUGGGGUAACGGCUCACCUAGGCGACGAUCCCUAGCUGGUCUGAGAGGAUGACCAGCCACACUGGAACUGAGACACGGUCCAGGCUCCUACGGGAGGCAGCAGUGGGGAAUAUUGCACAAUGGGCGCAAGCCUGAUGCAGCCAUGCCGCGUGUAUGAAGAAGGCCUUCGGGUUGUAAAGUACUUUCAGCGGGGAGGAAGGGAGUAAAGUUAAUACCUUUGCUCAUUGACGUUACCCGCAGAAGAAGCACCGGCUAACUCCGUG